AAAAAAUGAUCAAAAAAUGUUUUUGUCUCAGCUGAUGGUUUGUGACAUUUCAACUUUUGCUUUUAUUUUU
Small nucleolar RNA from Paramisgurnus dabryanus, 70 nucleotides. RefSeq annotates it as small nucleolar RNA SNORD73. Lineage: Eukaryota; Metazoa; Chordata; Actinopteri; Cypriniformes; Cobitidae. The record is from RefSeq and is a predicted model, not a curated record.